AGCGAACGCUGGCGGCAGGCCUAACACAUGCAAGUCGAACGAACUCUUCGGAGUUAGUGGCGGACGUGUGAGUAACACGUGGGAACGUGCCUUUAGGUUCGGAAUAACUCAGGGAAACUUGUGCUCAUACCGAAUGUGCCCUUCGGGGGUAAGAUUUAUCGCCUUUAGAGCGGCCCGCGUCUGAUUAGCUAGUUGGUGAGGUAAAGGCUCACCAAGGCGACGAUCAGUAGCUGGUCUGAGAGGAUGAUCAGCCACAUUGGAACUGAGACACGGCCCAAACUCCUACGGGAGGCAGCAGUGGGGAAUCUUGCGCAAUGGGCGAAAGCCUGACGCAGCCAUGCCGCGUGAAUGAUGAAGGUCUUAGGAUUGUAAAAUUCUUUCAGCGGGGACGAUAAUGACGGUACCCGGAGAAGAAGCCCCGGCUAACUUCGUG
This 433-nucleotide ribosomal RNA is filed under the name uncultured bacterium. RNAcentral describes it as "partial 16S ribosomal RNA". It matches the Rfam family "Bacterial small subunit ribosomal RNA", at positions 29 to 507 of the family's 1533-position model. The record is from RNAcentral.